UAUGCACUCUACUGUAAGUCGCUUUGGAUAAGAGCGUCUGCUAAAUGACUAAAA
Molecule: non-coding RNA, 54 nt
Organism: Salmo salar (Atlantic salmon)
Lineage: Eukaryota; Metazoa; Chordata; Actinopteri; Salmoniformes; Salmonidae
Source: Rfam